This 37-nucleotide non-coding RNA is filed under the name Sus scrofa (pig). The record is from RNAcentral. Lineage: Eukaryota; Metazoa; Chordata; Mammalia; Artiodactyla; Suidae.
GGGGGAUUAGCUCAGCUGGGCUGCUAAUUGCCUCCGA